Molecule: ribosomal RNA, 304 nt
Filed under: uncultured bacterium
Lineage: Bacteria
Description: bacterial SSU rRNA
Rfam family: Bacterial small subunit ribosomal RNA
Source: RNAcentral
GACGAACGCUGGCGGCGUGCUUAACACAUGCAAGUCGAACGGAAAGGCCCUGCUUGCAGGGUACUCGAGUGGCGAACGGGUGAGUAACACGUGGGUGAUCUGCCCUGCACUUCGGGAUAAGCUUGGGAAACUGGGUCUAAUACCGGAUAGGAACCAUCUUUAGUGUGGUGGUUGGAAAGUUUUUUCGGUGUAGGAUGAGCUCGCGGCCUAUCAGCUUGUUGGUGGGGUAAUGGCCUACCAAGGCGGCGACGGGUAGCCGGCCUGAGAGGGUGUACGGCCACAUUGGGACUGAGAUACGGCCCAG